UAGAUUGUAAGGGCUUAUAGGGAAUUUCCGUUUAGGUCAACUGGAUGUUGUUCGACCAACCUAAAUAGGUGAUAUUUGAUAAUAUUAU
Molecule: long non-coding RNA, 88 nt
Organism: Sinocyclocheilus grahami
Lineage: Eukaryota; Metazoa; Chordata; Actinopteri; Cypriniformes; Cyprinidae
Exons: 3
Source: RefSeq, a predicted model, not a curated record